UUAACUUAAAUUCGUAUGGAGUUGGAACGUUGCCUACGUUUGCCGCUAGGGGCGCUGUUCUAACUUCAUACAAAUUUGAGUUA
Molecule: non-coding RNA, 83 nt
Organism: Bombyx mori (domestic silkworm)
Lineage: Eukaryota; Metazoa; Arthropoda; Insecta; Lepidoptera; Bombycidae
Source: Rfam